GGCACUCUGCAAUUCAAACGGAAGAAGAAAUGCGUAAUCCUUAAGGCACCUGCUGCGCUGCGUUGAUCUCCCUAACGUGGCCGAGGGCUCACCGAUUCUGAAAUGAAGAAGGAAGCUAGCUGGUUUAAUUGCAUCUUAUAAAGAAAGCCUGAUGCUGUUUCAUCUGCAAAUGUGAUGUAAUGAUGUAACGACUCUUUUACUGCUUACCUUUGGCUGAGAGAAUCCCAUGAAAGUCAGAGUGUGAAAACAUUGUAAACCAUAAAGAGCUACAUAUGUAAGAUUCUGAAAAACCCAGUGGAAGCUGAUCUCUGCUUCGAACACUGAGGAGAUUUGAGCUGCUCUCAUGCAGCCUACCCGGGCACUCUCGCUGCUGUCCUCUCAGCCUCUGGGGCAGGAACUCGGCUUAUCUUCUGCAGGUCCAAUGUGCCUGUGUUUUGAAUACCUAAUUAAUUAGAACAUGCAUUGACUUACUUUGCCAAAGGUGCAUAAUUUAUCUUGCUGGGCUCCUGAAGUUAUUUCGGGCCUCCAGUUCACCAGGACAGGAAUGUGCACCUGUGUCCAGUAUUUUUCAGGUUGACUUGCUGGGGAUUUGAACUACAAUCAGCAUGUGGCUUCCAGCUACACAGUCUGGCUGUUCAAGUCUGAUGACCGUCUUGCACCUGUUGCAGUGAAAACACCCGGUCUCUACACAGACACCAGAAUACUAAUGCUGGGAUCAGUGCAUCACAUUCUGUUAUGGUUCAGAUGAUAGAACUCUAUCAGGGCUGGCAUUCUGCUAGGGCAGUGAUAAUGUGCUGCUCAAAACAAGCUGGAUUCCACAUGGCAACUGAAGCUUGAAACCCUGGCCUGGCCAGCCCGGAACAUGCUGGGCACAGGUAUGAGUGCCCCAGAUCCGAGGAGCCGGUGGACUACAGAAAGAAUUAUCCUGAGACAGAAUAAAAGAUGUGGAAGGGGGCAGACAAUUUCAGCCCAC
Tupaia belangeri chinensis (Chinese tree shrew) is the source of this 973-nucleotide long non-coding RNA. RefSeq lists it as uncharacterized. The transcript is spliced from 8 exons. Lineage: Eukaryota; Metazoa; Chordata; Mammalia; Scandentia; Tupaiidae. The record is from RefSeq and is a predicted model, not a curated record.